AUGAACGCUGGCGGCGUGCUUAACACAUGCAAGUCGAACGGAAAGGCUCCUGCUUGCCGGGGUACUCGAGUGGCGAACGGGUGAGUAACACGUGGGUGAUCUGCCCUGCACUUCGGGAUAAGCCUGGGAAACUGGGUCUAAUACCGGAUAGGACCACAUUUUGGAUGGUGUGGUGGAAAGUUUUUCGGUGUGGGAUGAGCUCGCGGCCUAUCAGCUUGUUGGUGGGGUAAUGGCCUACCAAGGCGUCGACGGGUAGCCGGCCUGAGAGGGUGUACGGCCACAUUGGGACUGAGAUACGGCCCAGACUCCUACGGGAGGCAGCAGUGGGGAAUAUUGCACAAUGGGCGCAAGCCUGAUGCAGCGACGCCGCGUGGGGGAUGACGGCCUUCGGGUUGUAAACUCCUUUCGCUAGGGACGAAGCGUUUUUGUGACGGUACCUGGAGAAGAGGCACCGGCUAACUACGUG
This 466-nucleotide ribosomal RNA is filed under the name uncultured bacterium. RNAcentral's name for it is "partial 16S ribosomal RNA". It matches the Rfam family "Bacterial small subunit ribosomal RNA", at positions 29 to 507 of the family's 1533-position model. The record is from RNAcentral.